GACGAACGCUGGCGGCGUGCCUAACACAUGCAAGUCGAACGGAAAGGCCCUGCUUUUGUGGGGUGCUCGAGUGGCGAACGGGUGAGUAACACGUGAGUAACCUGCCCUUGACUUUGGGAUAACUUCAGGAAACUGGGGCUAAUACCGGAUAGGAGCUCCUGCUGCAUGGUGGGGGGUGGAAAGUUUCGGCGGUUGGGGAUGGACUCGCGGCUUACGUGCUUGGUGAUGGGGUAGUGGCUGACCAAGGCCUUGACGGGUAGCCGGCCUGAGAAGGUGAACGGCCAAUAUGCGGCUGAGAUACGACUCAGAAUCCAACGGGAGGCAAAAGUGGGGAAUAAUGCACAAUAGGCAGAAGCCUGAUGCAGAAACGCCGCGUGCGGGAUAACGGCCUUCGGGUUGUAAACCGCUUUCGCCUGAGACGAAGCGUGAGUGACGGUAAUGGGUACAGAAGCACCGGCUAACUACGUG
This 468-nucleotide ribosomal RNA is filed under the name uncultured bacterium. RNAcentral's name for it is "partial 16S ribosomal RNA". It matches the Rfam family "Bacterial small subunit ribosomal RNA", at positions 28 to 507 of the family's 1533-position model. The record is from RNAcentral.